Pelobates cultripes (western spadefoot toad) is the source of this 223-nucleotide non-coding RNA. NCBI's taxonomy places the organism in Eukaryota, Metazoa, Chordata, Amphibia, Anura, Pelobatidae. The record is from the annotation of a GenBank genome assembly.
CGCCAAGCCCCUAUACCCUUAUACAAUAAUUACCACUCAAUCCUAAAACAGAAACCAACAGAUGUCCAAGCAAGUAUUAAAUCUAUUUUUCCACUUUUGUUUUUACAUUUUGUGUAGCUAAUACCAUUUGUUAGCAGGAUCAGGAGAGGAAGAUCAUUAAAUUUGGGGUUUGGGAUAGGAUUGAGGGGGUCAAAUCCCUAGGUGACCCAAGCCCCAGGUGCUU